AAACCAUGAGGAGGACACUCUAAGAGAAGAUCCUUAAAACGUUCUAUACAUGUAGAAAAUGAUUCAUUAGGUUUUUGGCAAAAUUGGAGAAUGUCGUUCCUAAGUUU
Molecule: small nucleolar RNA, 107 nt
Filed under: Cephalotus follicularis
Lineage: Eukaryota; Viridiplantae; Streptophyta; Magnoliopsida; Oxalidales; Cephalotaceae
Description: Plant small nucleolar RNA R71
Rfam family: Plant small nucleolar RNA R71
About the family: R71 is a member of the C/D box family of snoRNAs containing the C (UGAUGA) and D (CUGA) box motifs. Multiple nearly identical copies of this snoRNA have been identified in Arabidopsis, and it is thought to function as a 2'-O-ribose methylation guide for 18S ribosomal RNA.
Source: Rfam by way of RNAcentral